GGGUGGGCUUUGAAACCCUCCUCCUAGCCACACGGCAUCCAGUCGGCUCCUGGAUUCCUUUGGAUGAAGGAGUUGCCUUGGUCAUGGUGUCUGUUCACACCAGUGGAAACCCUAAUUCAGACAGUAACCUAGCAGCCUCCCCUGACUCUGAACAACAUGAUGGGCUGAAAGAUAAUGUCUUUCUCACUGGAGGUCUUGGCGACCUCCAAACCCAGCUGAAUAGGGAGACAGGCACUUGGUCUGGAGCAAAGCCUGUGAGCCAAAGGUGUGUGUGCUGGUCCGAGGAUGGUGUCUUCCGACCUAGGUGCAGUCUAUUGUCCUGCCACAUCUGCAGCUUCCUGCAAGAAGCCACUACCUGCUGAGCAGCUGAGCUUGUCUUCCUGACGAGAUGCUGACAAACCGAGGAGAUCCUGGCAAAGAAGGGGAUGGAUUCACUACCCCCCCCUUAAAAAUUCAGACUCAAGAAUUAAAGUUGAACCUUGAUCAGA
Molecule: long non-coding RNA, 488 nt
Filed under: Mus caroli (Ryukyu mouse)
Lineage: Eukaryota; Metazoa; Chordata; Mammalia; Rodentia; Muridae
Description: lncRNA (MGP_CAROLIEiJ_G0004439.1)
Source: RNAcentral